RNAcentral lists this non-coding RNA (28 nucleotides) under Bombyx mori (domestic silkworm). Lineage: Eukaryota; Metazoa; Arthropoda; Insecta; Lepidoptera; Bombycidae. The record is from RNAcentral.
ACAUAAAUAAUAGACCUGCUUGUUCCGU